RNAcentral lists this ribosomal RNA (419 nucleotides) under uncultured bacterium. RNAcentral describes it as "partial 16S ribosomal RNA". It matches the Rfam family "Bacterial small subunit ribosomal RNA", at positions 355 to 762 of the family's 1533-position model. The record is from RNAcentral.
UGGGGAAUUUUGGACAAUGGGCGAAAGCCUGAUCCAGCAAUGCCGCGUGUGUGAAGAAGGCCUUCGGGUUGUAAAGCACUUUUGUCCGGAAAGAAAUCCUUGGCUCUAAUACAGUCGGGGGAUGACGGUACCGGAAGAAUAAGCACCGGCUAACUACGUGCCAGCAGCCGCGGUAAUACGUAGGGUGCAAGCGUUAAUCGGAAUUACUGGGCGUAAAGCGUGCGCAGGCGGUUUGCUAAGACCGAUGUGAAAUCCCCGGGCUCAACCUGGGGAACUGCAUUGGGUGACUGGCAGGCUAGAGUAUGGCAGAGGGGGGUAGAAUUCCACGUGUGAGCAGUGAAAUGCGUAGAGAUGUGGAGGAAUACCGAUGGCGAAGGCAGCCCCCUGGGCCAAAUACUGACGCUCAUGCACGAAAGCGU